UCUGUUUUUACCCUUUCUCCGGGCUGUUAUUGUCAUACAAAUUACAUCUUUAUACAUGUUGUGCUGAACAACAAGUGGAUUUGUAGGUGUUUCUUUGUGAAGUUAUCUUCUAAAUCAGAUUUGCUGAGAUUUGUUUUGUGACCUAACAUCUGAUCUACCCUGAAGACACUUCCAUGUGCUGAUGAGGAGAAUGCAUACUCUUCAGCUGUUGAGUGGGAUGUUCUGUGAAUAUCUGGUA
This is a long non-coding RNA of Gorilla gorilla gorilla (western lowland gorilla), 238 nucleotides long. RefSeq lists it as uncharacterized. The record is from RefSeq and is a predicted model, not a curated record. NCBI's taxonomy places the organism in Eukaryota, Metazoa, Chordata, Mammalia, Primates, Hominidae. The transcript is spliced from 2 exons.